CACAUUACUGUUUUACAAUGAGAUCUAUCGAUUAAAAAUAUUUUCAAUAUGGCGGCACUUCCGGUAAUACCGGAAGUUGUCAGCAACUCUCUUAUUUUAAAUUGGUAUCCUCAUUUUUUAUUACAUAUUUAAAUUCUCUGUAAAAUUUAAUGAAUUUUGAUACCAAACACUCUAUACCUAACAUUAACCGUUUUUUAGAAAAAAAAAUAUUUAAAAUUUUUGGGAGAAAAAAACUGCCUGUCAAAAAAAUCUGUAUAACCUAAACGACUAAUUUAUAUAGUUGUCGUAGUCACAUAGUGUAUUCUGUUUUUUCGUGAAGAUCCUAGUAACUUCAUGAAGCGUCGCGUCGGUUGGGUUAGCACAAGCAUCUCAAAACAGAAGAGAUUCCAUCGAUGUUGCCAUAUUGCAAUAUUACAUGUCAAUCUGCGUCAAUUGUCAUUACUGUCAUUAGUUUUGGAGGUUAUAUUUUAGAAGAUUUGCCGCCUAUUUUGAUUCGUUGAAGACCGAUAAAGGACGAUUUGUCUAUGAGGGCGAUUAUUUACUUUAUCAGCUUUGACAAUUAAAAUUUUAAUUUCUCUUUGAUUUAGAUUGUUGUUACUUAUUGAUGAAUUGUAAAAUCAUGAAUACUUGCAACAAGUGUUUGAAAACAUUUUCCAAUAUAGGAAAUUUGAAUAAACAUUUAAAGAUGGUGCAUAAAGAUAAUGCUAUUUUAGUAUAUGAAAAGGAUGAAAAAUCCUUUCAGUGCUUAGAAGGGUGUAAUAUUUCUUUUAGGUCUAAUAAGGAUUUAAUAACUCAUUUAUGUACAGUACAUAAUUUAAAAAUGGAAACUGAAGAGUUACAUUUCCCUAAUAUUGAAGAAUUCCAUAUAUUUUUAAAUAACCUUCAUAUUUCCCAGAACGUUGAAUAUGUCCAAACUUGUGGAAAGCAAGAGAAAAAAAUUAUUGUUAUGAAUGAGAAUGGGUUGUGUGAAGAGGUUAUUGAAAUUAUAUAUUUGAAAUGUAAUCGUAGUGGAAAUUAUAUAAAACCAUCAGUGCCUCGUCAAAGAGCAAUUAAGCUAACAGGGUCAUGUAAACUGAAUAGAAGUUGCACAAGUGAAAUCAAGGUUGUUUCUAAUAAGAGCACAUUGAAGGUUUCUGCUACGUUUUUAAAAUCACAUUAUGGACAUGAUUCUGAAAUACAACAUUUAAGAUUACCCAAGACUGAAAAGGCUGAUAUUGCUCAGAAACUUGCAAGUGGCAUUAGUAUAAGUCAAAUUCUUAGUAUGAAUAGGGAUAACUUUAAUCCUGAAAACCUUAACAGAACUAAUUUAUUAAGACGUAGUGAUAUACAUAAUAUUAAACGUUCAUUCAAUAUUGAAAUAUAUGAGGGUGUAAGACAUACAGAAGAUGCUGUUAGUGUAGAUAUGUUUGUUCAGGAAUGUUCAAACCUGGAAAGCAAUCCUAUAAUAUUUUAUAAACCACAGGGAGUUGAAAAUGAAGGUGUUUUAAAAAAGGAGGAUUUUUGCAUCAUUAUAAUGAACAGAGUGCAACAAGACAUAUUGAAAAUGUUUGCGGAAAACAUAGUUGCAAUAGACAGUACUCAUGGAAUGAAUGCUUACGAUUUUGAACUAACAACACUUUUAGUGGUGGAUGAGUGGGGUGAAGGAUUUCCUGGAGCAUGUAUGUUAACAAACCGUAAAGAUACAUUAGUUUUUCAAUUGCUGUUUAAAAAUAUUAGAGAUAAUAUUGGUAUUUUAAAACCAAAGGUUUUUAUGUCUGAUAUUACACAUGUCUUUUAUAAUGCUUGGAAACAAGAAAUGGGUGAAGUGCCAUCACAACUAUAUUGUGCAUGGCACGUAGAUCGUGCAUGGCGUUCUAAUUUAAGUAAAGUAAAUUCACCAGAACUUAAAACUUUAGUCUAUCAGUCGUUAAAAGUAUUACAGACAACAAAUUCUAAAGAAGAAUUUCAUGAAUUAUUAACAAAGAGUAUAAAUGAUUGGGGUAAGAAUGAAGCAACUGUUAAUUUUGGACAAUAUUUUGCAGGAAAUUAUUUAUCAAAUUAUAUGCAAUGGGCAUAUUGCUAUCGCUUAAAUUGUGGAAUUAAUACUAAUAUGCGUUUAGAAAAUAUGCACAAAGUGUUAAAACAUAUAUAUUUAGACGGCAAAAAGGUAAAAAGAUUAGAUAAAUGUUUAAAUGCUUUAAAUUUGUUUAUUAGAGAUAAAGCACUCGAAAGAGUAAUCAAGAAAAUUAAAGGCAAAAAUUCAAUCCAUUUAAAAACAAUUAAAUCAAGACAUGAUAUUGCAGUAAAAAGUAAUUGUGAAGUUAGAGAUAUUAUAGAUGAAAAUGAUAGUGCUACCUAUAAAUGGUCUGUAUCUAGUUGUUCAGAGUUAGACAGUAAUUAUAUAGUUUGUAAAAAUGAAGUUGAAAAUUGUUGCAGCCUAAUAUGCUCACAGUGUGAUAUAUGUAUUCAUUCCUAUAGUUGCACUUGCCCAGAUUUUCUAAUACAACAUACUAUUUGCAAGCAUAUUCAUGUGAUAAUAAUUAAAAAAAAUAAUUUGCUUCAACAUAAAAGUACUGAAAAUCCUGGAGCAUCUCUAACAGAAUAUAUAAAUAGUCUUAAAGGGGAGCAGUCCUAUCAAAGCAAUGAUACAUUAAUGCAAAUAAUAUCCUCUGAAACGUUAAAACUACAGAAUAACCUGUUAAAAAAUCCAAACAGAACUCUCUUAAAACAUGUUGCAAGUUGCUUGAAAAAAGAAAAUAGUUUUAUUGAGGCCACUACUUCAAAUAAUAUAAAUUUUACCAAGCUACCUAAAUCUGAAGCAGAACCAGCUAAUAAGAAAAUUGAAAAACAAAUUAGGUUCUUUUCCACAAAGAAAAAGCGUACAUUGAAAAAGACUAAAAUUUCCAAGCCAGAUAAAGAUGAAACCAAAUUUAUUAAGAAUUUUAUUCAUGGAAAAUGUGAAUUUAUUUCUAAUGAUCAAGCUAUAGACCACGAUUAUUGUAGAAGUGUGAAUUAAUUUAAUUUCUUUUAGCUUCACUUUUUUAAACAUACAUAUAAAGUAUAGCACAAAUAUGUAACCAUAUAAUAAUAUAAUAUAUACCGUGCUUUUUUAUUUUAACUAUGAACAUAGGUCUUGACAUUGCAAUGUUAUUUUGCAACGUCAUGAGAUUUUGAAGUAAGUACUCUUUUAAGUGUAUACUUAAUUCAGUAUGUAAUAUUAAGUAUCCAAAAAGAUACCCCAUAAUUGAUAUAUAAAUGUUAAAAGGAUCAUUCAGCAAUUGAGAAACUGAUUCACAAUCUUUCAGUUUUGUUAAUAUUUUAAUUUCAUACAUGCCCCGCUCAUCUCUAGAAAUUGUGAUAGUAAAGGAGAGUAUAUCUAAUAAAAUUAAGUUUCUGUUAUACAUUUAUACUCAGUUUCAGGUUCAGAUUCAUGGAUCGUUAUAUAUAACCACAAAAUGAUUAAUCUAAAAAAUGGAGAGUAUAUCUGUCUAAUAAAUCAUAUUUUUUUUAUAUUAUACCAAGUUUUAGAUUCAAGUUAAUGAAAUUUCAGCCACAAAGUGAUGUAUUUAUAUCUAAUAAAAGUGGAGAAUAUUAUUUAAUUUUUGCUAACACAUUUUUGGUAUAGAAUUAUAUCAUACUUCAAGAUUUAUGGAAUGUAGAUACAAAAUAAGUGUAUAUUUUAAAAAAGGAAGUAUUUCUAUCUAAUAAAUCACUUUUUUGUAAUACAAAAUUUAUACCAAAUUUCAGAUGUGGGUCAGAAAAUGAUGGGUCAUUAAUAUAAAAUGGAGAGUAUAUCUAUAAAAUAUGCAUUUUUUUACUAUGUAGUAUAUAUUAUACCAAAUUUGAGGUUUAGAAUAAUUAGUUAUCACAGAUAUCCAUUUUUAUAUAUGCCUAUCCCAGGUACAAUUUGCAUACUAUUGGCUACGUUCUAGACUUAUUUAGAAUCAAAGAAUACUUCAAGAUAUAUGUACAUAUAAUACACAUAUAAUAUUUUGAUUGCUGAUAAAAA
This 3988-nucleotide unclassified non-coding RNA is filed under the name Sitophilus oryzae (rice weevil). RNAcentral describes it as "uncharacterized LOC115887400, transcript variant X1". Lineage: Eukaryota; Metazoa; Arthropoda; Insecta; Coleoptera; Curculionidae. The record is from RNAcentral.